Non-coding RNA from Macaca mulatta (Rhesus monkey), 960 nucleotides. NCBI's taxonomy places the organism in Eukaryota, Metazoa, Chordata, Mammalia, Primates, Cercopithecidae. The record is from RefSeq and is a predicted model, not a curated record.
GCUGGGAUUACAGGUGUGAGCCACUGCCCCUAGCCAACCUCUACUUUCUUAAAAGCAGGGGUGUGAUAACAGCUGCUUCCCAGUCGACUGGAAUGUCCACACAAAUUAAAAACUGAAACAGUAUCUCCAUCAACUGAAAGAAAACAGUAAAAAGAAAGUAGGUGAUGACAUUUCUCAUCAGUUACAUUCUUCUGAAUUUAAUUAGUGCCAGGGAAACUGAAACUAUGGUUAUACCUAAGAUAAGGCAAACAUUUGAAGAAGGAGUAAAGGAAAGAUUAAUUUUGCAGCUGUCUCAGGGUCUGGUGGAGGGCUGAUGGAUGUCACCCUGUCUUUGUUUUGCACCGGGGAAAGUAAGCUUGUAAUCAGUGCUGUCAGGAUGAAAUUCAACAGCCUGGACAAGGGGUCAGAUAGAGCUUGCAAACCUAAGGUUACCUAUCUUUGUUUAUGGAGGCUGGACAUCUUGGAAAGAUUUAGGGGUAAGCAAAUAAUUUACAUAUGAACAAUUUGUGAGGGCGAUCAUCUGGAGAUGUGUGAGGGCUUUUAUUUUUUUUUCCUUUUUGUAGGCAUCUGGGUAAUGUACAAUGCUUAACCACUUAAGACAAUCAGGAAGCAACAGCCAUGCAUUUGGGAAAUGAAUUUCAGUACUGUGUGGCUCAGUCUCCAGACCUAACUUUCCCUUUGCUACAGACGCGGUGGCACUUGCCUGUAAUCCCAACACUUUGGGAGGCCGAGGCAGGAGGAUCACUCGAGCCCAGAAGUUUAAGACUAGCGUGAGCAACAAAGAAAAAGCAAUAUAUAGAAAGUGCUUGGCUUAGCACUUUGUACAUUACAGUUCCCGGUCUGAGUUUGCCCUUGUCAUUCGAUCCUUCCCUGGCGCCGGGUCCAGGAGGACCUGGUUCUUAGGCAGCAUCUGUGUCUUUGUUUUGUAAGACACACAAGAGUGUCCUUAACCCACUGCAG